ACUCCUACGGGAGGCAGCAGUGGGGAAUAUUGGACAAUGGGCGAAAGCCUGAUCCAGCCAUGCCGCGUGUGUGAAGAAGGCCCUCGGGUUGUAAAAGCACUUUCAGCGAGGAAGAACGCCUAGUGGUUAAUACCAUCAUGGAAAGACAUCACUCGCAGAAGAAGCACCGGCUAACUCCGUGCCAGCAGCCGCGGUAAUACGGAGGGUGCAAGCGUUAAUCGGAAUUACUGGGCGUAAAGCGCGCGUAGGUGGCUUGAUAAGCCGGUUGUGAAAGCCCGCCGGCUCAACCUGGGAACGGCAUCCGGAACUGUCAAGCUAGAGUGCAGGAGAGGAAGGUAGAAUUCCCGGCUGUAGCGGUGAAAUGCGUAGAGAUCGGGAGGAAUACCAGUGGCGAAGGCGGCCUUCUGGACUGACACUGACACUGAGGUGCGAAAGCGUGGGUAGCAAACAGGAUUAGAUACCCUGGUAGGCUCUG
RNAcentral lists this ribosomal RNA (475 nucleotides) under uncultured bacterium. RNAcentral describes it as "bacterial SSU rRNA". It matches the Rfam family "Bacterial small subunit ribosomal RNA", at positions 335 to 799 of the family's 1533-position model. The record is from RNAcentral.